Molecule: ribosomal RNA, 450 nt
Filed under: uncultured bacterium
Lineage: Bacteria
Description: bacterial SSU rRNA
Rfam family: Bacterial small subunit ribosomal RNA
Source: RNAcentral
GUGGGGAAUAUUGGACAAUGGGCGAAAGCCUGAUCCAGCCAUGCCGCGUGUGUGAAGAAGGUCUUCGGAUUGUAAAGCACUUUAAGUUGGGAGGAAGGGCAGUAAGUUAAUACCUUGCUGUUUUGACGUUACCGACAGAAUAAGCACCGGCUAACUUCGUGCCAGCAGCCGCGGUAAUACGAAGGGUGCAAGCGUUAAUCGGAAUUACUGGGCGUAAAGCGCGCGUAGGUGGUUUUGUAAGUUGGAGGUGAAAUCCCCGGGCUCAAACUGGGAACUGCCUCCAAAACUGCAUGACUAGAGUACGGUAGAGGGUAGUGGAAUUUCCUGUGUAGCGGUGAAAUGCGUAGAUAUAGGAAGGAACACCAGUGGCGAAGGCGACUACCUGGACUGAUACUGACACUGAGGUGCGAAAGCGUGGGGAGCAAACAGGAUUAGAAACCCUAGUAGUCC